This is a long non-coding RNA of Lutra lutra (Eurasian river otter), 265 nucleotides long. RefSeq lists it as uncharacterized. NCBI's taxonomy places the organism in Eukaryota, Metazoa, Chordata, Mammalia, Carnivora, Mustelidae. The record is from RefSeq and is a predicted model, not a curated record. The transcript is spliced from 3 exons.
CAAAUUUUAAACCACUUCAUAUUCUUUUUUUUUUAUGUUGACAAAGUCUGCAAACUGGACUGACUGUUGUCUCAACACCUGUGCAUUCCUUCCCCACUGAUUUAAAGUACCAUGUGCUUCAUGGGGCAUCUGGGUGGGCAUUCUUACACUGAAUGAACCAGUGUGCUGCAUCAAAAAUUGAUAAAAAUAUAACAGAAGAAACAGUGAAGAUGUUGUUCUCAAACAUUGAAGAUAUCCUUGCUGUACCUACUCCCUUUUUGAAAGU